GGGGGUGAAAGGGCUCGACUUAGGUAAGCCGGGUAAAAGUUGCAUGCCGCGGACGCAUGGUUGGCCGCGUUAUCAAUCCGUGCACAAAUAAACGCAAACACACAAGUGUUAAACAACCGGGUAUUUUUGGCACCAGUAAUGGUGACUCCGAUCAUGCCUGGUUUUGCGGCAAGACUUAACUAACUAAAUUAGUUAAGCCUCAAACCUUCCUGCCUAAGGGGGGGAUUUGAGACCUUAAUUUAGGCUGGCCUGCGUUUGCGCCUUUCAAGCGCGGGCGAGAGCAAUUAAGGCUGCUGCCUUUUAAAUCCUGUCUGCCGGAGGGAAAAGGCUUAAGCGUAAUAAACAGACUAAGCAUGUAGUAUCUUUUAUCUGAUUAUCUAGGGACGGCGGUUCAAUUCCGCCCACCUCCACCA
RNAcentral lists this transfer-messenger RNA (413 nucleotides) under Candidatus Omnitrophota bacterium. It matches the Rfam family "transfer-messenger RNA". Rfam says of the family: Bacterial tmRNA, also known as 10Sa RNA or SsrA, is named for its dual tRNA and mRNA-like properties. Its role is to liberate the mRNA from a stalled ribosome. To accomplish this part of the tmRNA is used as a reading frame that ends in a translation stop signal. Lineage: Bacteria; Pseudomonadati; Candidatus Omnitrophota. The record is from RNAcentral.